Molecule: ribosomal RNA, 397 nt
Filed under: Ursus arctos (brown bear)
Lineage: Eukaryota; Metazoa; Chordata; Mammalia; Carnivora; Ursidae
Description: partial small subunit ribosomal RNA
Rfam family: Bacterial small subunit ribosomal RNA
Source: RNAcentral
CACUAUGCUUAGCCUUAAACAUAAAUAAUUUAUUAAACAAAAUUAUUCGCCAGAGAACUACUAGCAACAGCUUAAAACUCAAAGGACUUGGCGGUGCUUUAAACCCCCCUAGAGGAGCCUGUUCUAUAAUCGAUAAACCCCGAUAGACCUCACCACCUCUUGCUAAUUCAGUCUAUAUACCGCCAUCUUCAGCAAACCCUUAAAAGGAACAAGAGUAAGCACAAUCAUCUUGCAUAAAAAAGUUAGGUCAAGGUGUAACCCAUGGGGUGGGAAGAAAUGGGCUACAUUUUCUAUUCAAGAACAACUUACGAAAGUUUUUAUGAAACUAAAAACUAAAGGUGGAUUUAGUAGUAAAUCAAGAAUAGAGAGCUUGGUUGAAUAAGGCAAUGAAGCAUGC